UCCCCUUCCUCCCUGCCCAG
This 20-nucleotide microRNA is filed under the name Homo sapiens (human). RNAcentral's name for it is "hsa-miR-6756-3p". Lineage: Eukaryota; Metazoa; Chordata; Mammalia; Primates; Hominidae. The record is from miRBase by way of RNAcentral.